ACCACUAUGAUCCAAAAUAUAUCAAAAUCAACAAAACAAAACAAAGCCCACACACCAUGAAUUUAUCACACCAAGUAUUACACGAUUAAAAAUUAAUUGAGAAUAAAAUGAAGAAUGAACCUUUUAUUCAAUCAAAUAGAGGAGCUUCGCGGAUUCGGAACCUCGACUUAAACCGACCUUGAAUAAAACCCUAUUUGGCAUCGAAUUUCGACCCCGAAACAGAUUUGAAAAUCAAGCGGAACCUCUAAAUCGCAAACCUCAAUCAACAAAUCAAACGAACAAUGGAAAACUCGAACGGAGGGGUGAACUGGCACUACUGGUCGCCGAUUUUGGUGAUAUUACCCAACGAAUUCCAAUAAUUUCAGCUAGAACAGUGAAGGACGGGACUGGGGAGAUGGUUUUUAGGUCAGUCACGUUUUCGAUCAGACCUCCAAUCGAUUUCAGCUUGCCGUCGCCUUUCUCUCUCUCUUUCUUCUAUCUCACGAUCUCACUCUUGCUCGAAUCUCUCUUUCUUUAUCUCCCUCCUCUCUCGAUUUCUCUAUCACAUUGGUUUUACUGUGUGUGGUGUGUUUGUGAACGAAGAAUAAAAAAAAGGUGCAUGCCUCUGUUUUCGUGGUUGAUUCUGUGUGUGGUGUAUAUGAGGUGCUAUGGUCUUCUGUGAGGGGUGAUUAUUGUGAAUGGAAUUGUGUGGGUGUGUACCAUGUGUAUGUACUUCAAUAGAAAAAGAAAAUGGAGAAAUGGAGUUGUGGGUGUAUCCUCUAGUGAAUCGAAACUGAGAGUAUAUAGUGUGGAGUGUGUAUGUGAAUAUGGUGAUGGAGUAUGUGCUCUUUUUUCGUGAGGAUUUUUUGGUAUCCCCGUCCCUUUUUCUAACCCCUUUACUUUGUGAAAAAGAAACAUGUAAAAGAGUAGUUAGGUAGGUUGGGUAGUAGGCUAGGGUAGGGUAGUGAGGUGGAUGAGUUUGUUAGGAUAAGGUUUGUUAGGAUAGGGAAUGAAUUUAUUCAAUUUUGUUAUAGUUUGUAUUUUUGUGGGGUAUAAAUACAUGGGUGAGGGUGUAGGAUAAAGAUAAAACAAUGGAUAUAUUUGGUUUCGGGAGGGACAAAAUUAGGUUUCUACAUCAUGCCCCUUUUUGGGUGUAAACACAAAGCUUUUUCAGACAAAAAAAGUAGACAACGAGACCAAGUUUUGACCCAACCAUUAUUCAAUGAAAGAAAUAGAAAGAAGAAGAACAACCGGGUCUUCACUUAGGACAUCCUACCCACCCAAGUUACGGAGGAAUCAAGUCACGUGUAUCUUAAAGGAUUGGAAGGAGAAGGACUAUACAGAGUUAGAGAGUCGAGUGAGGUUCCAUCGAGGCUCCGGUCUGCGGCUCUGUUAUUACAUCAAAAUGAAAAUUACAAGUCAAUACAUAAAUGAAAUUAUAAAAUCCUAUCCAUACAGGUUCUUUUUUACUUGAGUUUCAUCGCCCUAUUCUUCAGGCGAGCUCCUGAUUUGCAAUUUUUUCAACUUACUGCUUGAUUUUCAACUUCAUCACCCUAUUCUCCAGGUUGGCUCCUGACUUGCUAUUUUUUCAAUCUAUUGACUUUCAGUUUUUUCACCUUGUUGCUUGACUUCAACUUCUUCACCACGUUGCUUGACUUUUCAUUUAUUCGCCCUGUUCUUCAGGAGGGCUCCUGAAAUCACAUCAAAACUAAAAAGAAAAUUAUCCCAAACAAAGAUUAUAUAAAGAGAUUAUUUGCUAGAAAAGUGAAGUUCCAAACAACAAGAAUUAAAUUUUGCCCCAGUUUAUCAUCAAAGGACUUUUGUGAAAGUCACAUCAUUAUAGGGAUUAAGGAGAAUGACUCGACUAAAAGGUAGGUCUUAUAGGAAUCAAGGGGAAUGACUCGACUAAAAGGUACAUCUUAUAGGAAUCAAGGGAAAACUCGACUAAAAGGUACGUCUUACAGGAAUCAAAGGGAAUGACUCGACUAAAAGGUACGUCUUCUAGGGGUCAAGGGAGAAUGACUCGACUAAAAGGUAUGUCUUAUAGAGAUCAAAGAAAAUAACUCUACUAAAAGGUACGUCUUCUAAGAGUCAAGGGGAAUGACUCGACUAAAAGGUAUGUCUUAUAGAGAUCAAAGAAAAUAACUCUACUAAAAGGUACGUCUUCUAAGAGUCAAGGGGAAUGACUCGACUAAAAGGUAUGUCUUAUAGGAAUCAAGGGAGAUGACUCAACUAAAAGGUACGUCUUAUAGGAAUCAAGGGAGAUGACUCNNNNNNNNNNNNNNNNNNNNNNNNNNNNNNNNNNNNNNNNNNNNNNNNNNNNNNNNNNNNNNNNAAAGGAAAUAACUCGACUAAAAGGUACGUCUCCUAAGGGUCAAGGGGAAUAACUCGACUUAAAGGUACGUCUUAUAGGAAUCAAGGGAGAUGACUCGACUAAAAGGUACGUCUUAUAAGAAUCAAGGUAGAUGACUAGACUAAAAGAUACGUCAUCUAGGGGUCAAGGGAAAUGACUCGAUUAAAAGGUACGUCUUCUAGGGGUCAAGGGAAUGACUCGACUAAAAGGUGCGUCUUCUAGAGGUCAAGGAAAAUAACUCGACUAAAAGGUACGUCUUAUAGGAAUCAAGGGGAAUGACUCGACUAAAAGGUACAUUUUCUAGGGGUCAAGGGAAUGACUCGACUAAAAGUUACGUCUUAUAGGAAUCAAAGGAAAUGACUCGACUAAAAGGUAUGUCUUCUAGGGGUCAAGGGAAUGACUCGACUAAAAGGUACGUCUUAUAGGAAUCAAAAGGAAUGACUCGACUAAAGGUACGUAUUCUAGGGGUCAAGGGCAAUGACUCGACUAGAAGGUACGUCUUCUAGGAGUGAAGGUUCAAUUUAAGAAGUGUAUCACCCAACAAAUAAAAACUGAAAUCCCUAGACAAGAAAGUGUGUCUCCGAGGGAUAUAAGAUGAUGAAUUUUUACCAUGAUUUAAUUAUCAAACCUGUGCAGCAACAUUGUUUCCUGCAUUUGUAAAAGUGAGAAAUUACGGGCCUUGAUGUUUAGGCUUUGAAAUCCUUGAUUUGAAGGUAACAUGUGUUCCUAUUUCAUGCAAAGAAAGGUUGUGAGUUUAAAAAUAUGGUGGCUGGUUUGUGGCUUUGGCUUUCAUGGUAAACGCUCUUGCCGUCAUCACAUUUAAGAGUGACUGAGACAAACACAGCAUCUCUGUUUUGCCAUGCUUCUUAGAUAGACCCCUUGGAACCUUGGUAUUUCAUGAGUUCCUAGACUUAUUUAUUGACAAAACUUUCUGCUUACCUCAUUUUGGCUCACAAUCAUGUCUCUUUCAUGCGUUGGCCUUUUUGCCUUGCUUUGUACAAUUGAAGAAGCUGGUAGCCAGUUUUGAAAUCUUUUCUCACUUAUUUUGACAUAGACUUAACUCAAAGACAAGAAAAAAAUGACAAUGAUUUUAUUUGGAUAACUGACUCAAGAAAAAUAAAAAUAUAACUAUAGAAAAGAAAGAAAUAAUAAUAAACGUCCUUAUUCAAAAAGAUGAAAGAAAAGUUUAUCUAAAAAUGACAGUCAACUCUAAUGAUUAUGACAUGCAUAUCGGAUUAAACUGGCUGAUCUUUCCAUCCAAAAUUCUUACAAAUUGUUGUUGAGUUAACGACCCUGAAAGUGAGUUGCUUUCUUGGACCAAUUGCAUUCGGAGACCUCAUUCGGCUAGUGGCGCCUUGAAGGGUUUUCACCAACAAGCCUCUUUCAUUUUCUUUUAUCACCUGACUAUUGCCUUAUAGUAUCCGAGAGGUUUUUUUACCAAUAAGAUUCUUAUUUUUAUUUUUCUCAACUCACAAUCGUCUUACAGUGCCCGUGAAGGUUUUCACCGAUAAGACUCUCUCAUUUUUAUUUAUCUCAACUCACCGUCGUCUUACAGUGCCCGUGAGGGUUUUCACCGAUAAGACUCUCAUUUUCGUUUCUCUCCUGAUUUCUUAUGCUGAGGAAGACAAGUAGUUUCUAAAAUGCGUUAUCUACAUCCAUUGCAUGCUUAGCCUGAGCAUUCUCGAAGAUUGAUCUGAAGGUCUUUCUUUGGUUGUAACUUGACUUUUGGAUAAGGUUAGAAAGAAAGGAUGGCAUGGGGACCGAAUGAUACUUAAAGUGGGGUGGGAUAUACAACUUUUAGAAUCGACUCAAACAAUGAGGAUUAACUCAUGCCCCAGUUUCUUUUGACUGGGCAAUUCUAAAUUAUUUAUUUGGUUGGACCGAGCCCAGAGUAGGGUAGCCUACGUAUCUCAACCUCGAGAGAGGAGAAUCAGGUCACGCGUAGUUCUAGCAGCUUGUUCUUUUGAUUGAUUCUGAUUUUUGUUUCUUUUUUUUCUCUUUUCUCUUUAGGAUUUUUUUUCUGACCCUAUUUUGAUACUCUUUUCUUUUCUUUCCUUUUGUACACAUUUUUUUUUCGACACUUUUCUUUUGAGUUUUACUGACUCUAUCUUGGUUCCAAAAGAAGGGUAUGAAAGAAAAUAAAACAAGAGCUUAAAUGGGGGUAAACAAAGGAUGACACGAUGUUUGGAUAGCAGAAUGAAAUGCCUUCGUCAUAUCAAUCCUUAAAAAUGUAAGUACAUAUCUUGCAAUAUAAAAGUGAAAGAUGAAGAUCACUUGUGACAUCUUUUACAAAUUAACUUUGACUGAGUUUGUGCGUCACUAUUUCUUCUGCAAACUCCACAUUUAUUGUACAGUCCUCACAUUGAAUGACUCAUGAUUUUGUGAAGCUGAUUUUCUUCCUGUUCACACAGCCACUAUUUGACCUAAUUGAGACAUGUCGGUCAAUUGAUGACCAAGUUAUUCUUGUGAUUCUCAAAAUAAGUGCCUUAAUUUCCAGAAAAGGCUUCAACUGUCACCAAAUGUUUCAGCACUCUACCUAUUUUCUCUGAUUUUUCUCUUUUUUUUUUAACCUUAGCCCUUUGAUUCAAAGUUCAUGCUAAAACUGGUUUUCAAGAUCCAACUGAAAAUUUCGCAAGCAUGUCAUAUCACUAGAAUCAACACAAAAUUGACUGUGUAAAGAAAACAAACAACACAUACUUAAAACACAAAGGGAAAGGGACACUUCAUUUAGUUGAAAUAAAAUAUAGAAGGGUUUGAACAUGCAUGACAAAGGGAUAAAACAAGAUAGAUCCCGAACUACAACCCUGAAAUAACUUAGAAAACAGAAAAGAAAAGAAAACAAACUACCAGACCUCUUCCUAGCAGGGAGGAGGGUGACUUCUCAAUUGGUCAGCCUAACAACUUAGCCACUGGUUUGCAUAUCAGCAUGACUAGAGCUUUCCUCACUGUCAGACACAUUCCCUUCAGUAAAUAAGUUCUGGAUUCCCAUGCUUAACUUAUUUUCUCCCACAUAUUUUGCAGUACCUCAUACUAGUGAAGAACUCUGUGGGAUGCUCGAGGUGCCAACGUUUUGCACUAUAAUCACUUUUUCUUGAAUCAUCUUGUCUAUUUCUCUUUUCAAAGUACGACAAUCUUCAAUACAGUGACCUUGAAUAUUAGAAUGAUAUGCACACCGUAUAUUAGAGUAAAAAUUUCUUGAAUAUGGGUCAGGUGUAUACCCAAGGAGAGGAGUGAUCAUGCCCUACUGUACCAAUCUCUGGAAUAAACUGGCAUAGGAUUCCCCAAUAGGAGUGAAAUUAUCUUUUUUCUUCCUCAUCUUUGCGAACUCUGGCCUCGGAUGAAACUUGGAUUUAGAGGUUCCUUGGUAAAUUUGUGGGGGUCGAGGAUGAUGUUGAGAGACAGGUGCAUGCCAUUGUGGAUAAGAAGAUGGAUGAGCAUACAAUUGUGCAUUGUUCAAAGGAUAUUGAGGAAGUGGAAUGGGAUUUCUUGGAUUUUGGGGAAAGAAACCUUGUUGCAAGUGGUUAUGUGGAUCUAAUAUACAAGCUUGGGAUUGAGGCUAACAGUAUUGGUAGGUUGGACCUCUCAAACUCUACUUUGGCCCUGGCAUGACAAUAGGUCUGUUUUCCUUCUUCUUUCCUUCAGUUUCCCUUGGUUGAUUACAAUGUUGUCCCAAAUAUUUCACAUAAUCCUUCUGUCCAUCAGGCUCCCCAAAUUUUGAUGUCUCAAAGUUGGGAAGAAGGUUAACACUUGAAAACAUGCCCCAGUUUUUAUAUGAAACAUCUUCAUAGCUCAUAAGUCCGGGGGAAUUUUUCAUAUCAUUUUCUACACUAUUAACUUUCCAACCACUUUAUCUAGCUCUUCUAGUAUGCUAGACUUCUUAGUAAGAAAUUUUGGCGGUCCACUUUAUUUAAUGGUAGGCUCAAGAGUAUAACAAUGAUCAUCAAGAGUAUUGAACAUGGAUUCACUAGUGGACUGGGGAAGCACAAUCGUUGGAUUGAUAGCCAAAGUGAAUGUGGUAGACUUAUACUGAGGAGCUAAAGAAAGAGUGGUGGAAGUAUUGAGGUGCAUUUGACGUGGAAUGGAUUCUGAGGCAUGCUGUGGUGUAUCAACAACAGAAGGAAACUGACUUUGCAAUUUUGGUGGAAGACUCAAGGUAUUUGCAGGGUCAAAAGUGGGGAACGGAGGUGGAGGCAGCCCACUAGCCCAAGCUCGGUACAUUUCCAUCAUUUGUUGUCUCAGUCUCAAAUUCUCUUCCUUUAAACUCUCAAUUUCCUGACUCUUGGUUUCAUCCAUGGUGCCACUCUCUAUAUCCUUGUUGGACAUAACUAAACCUUCCUUGGAUUUGGUAUGAUAUGGAGGACUAGCCAGGAAGCCUCAAACCAACCACCUUAAACUAACUGAACAAGAUGCAAUAAAUAUGUUAGAGUUUAACCUUUUUCAAAACCUCUUUUUUUUUAAAAAAGAUCACCGAACCCAAGAAGGGCGCCUACGUAUCUCACCCCCGAGGGGGGAGAAUCAGGUAUGCGUAAUUCGUGAAGUCUUGCCAAAAUGGCCAAUUGAACUCUUUGUUUUCUUUCUUUUUUUUUCUUUUUCUCGAAACUUUACAAGAAAAGAAAAUAACAAUUUGUCAAAAGAAUUGACGAAAAUGUUUUUGAAUUUUUCAGCUUUAACAUCCCUAUACAAUGUGAAAUCUAUGAUUACCAAAGAUUUUUUAUUUUUUUUUUGUAUUUUCAGUUUUAAAUUUCAUAUGAAAAUGAAACCUGAACCUAUUAAAGGAAAAUCUUUUUGCAGUUUUCUUUUAAAGGUGUAAAUGAAACACUUACUCUAAAUAAAGAGUGAAGAAAAUCCUUUUGAAUUUUUUUCAAAUAAGAUCCCCGAACCGACAAUAAGCUGCCUACGUAUCUCACUCCCGAAAGAGGAGAGUCAAGGGUGCGUAGUUCGUCCAGAUUGGACAAUUAAGGAUUAAUUAACAAACUAAAUCCUGAAUUGAGAGACACGACUAAAGACAGACGAAUAAAAUCUUUUUGGAUUCUGAAUUAUAAACUAACACCAACAACUAUGAAAGAAAAAAAAUCUUUUUGAUAUUUUCGUUAUAUAAAAAUGUACAAAGCUCCUAUUGAAAGGAAAAAAUAUUUUUGGAGGUUUCUAAUUGUGAAUACCUACUAAAGAAAUAAAAGGAAACUAUUUUUAACGUUUUAGAUUUUUUGGGAAAUGAGUGCAUAAAGUAAAAAAAAAAAUUUUUUUUUUAAUUGUGAAAAACAAAAGUCAUAAAGAACCCUAAAAACUACCAAAUACGCUUUUUUCUUCCUUUUUUCAACAAUUUCCUUCCUACACACGUUGCUUUUAACUCAUGCUUUUGCCCAAAUCAGUCUGUCAAAUGACCUUGUUACCCUCAAAGAUACAACAUUUAUCACGUAGGGAUGCUUUAGAGGUGAGUUUCCUACAAAGGACCAAGUGGCUCCCGCUAGGUCUUCAAUAUGAUGCACAUAAAUAUGACCUAAAGGCUGACCUACGUUGUGGUUCACUAACAAGGCUGUUUGGGGAAUCGUAUGGUCGAUAAUGGCUGCUUUGCUUUCCACCUACUCCAUAACACCGACGGCUCCCCCUCUUAAAAUAAGGGUGACUCAACUAGAGGUUGUGUACAACACGUGUACUACGGACUUGUUGCAGAAAGAAUGACUCGGGUUAUGCACAUGAUACCAGAUAUAAAGCGGUAACACAUAAAGUAAAACUGUAAACAAAGAGCACGUAGGCACUUAACACUGAUAAAAUGAAUACGAACAAUAACACAAACAAUGUCUAUACACCCAUAAUGUCAAACAAAGCCGAUAUAACUCCAAAAUUAGCUCGAAUUCUGAAAAGUCCCCAGCAGAGUCGCCAGAUCUGUCACACCCCUUUUUUCAACUCCAUAAAGAUUGUAUUUUUAUGUUUGAAAAUUCGAAAGUGUUUUUAUUAUUAAAGUGACAAAAGAUUGAAAUUUUAUUUUUGAAAAAGGAUUAUUUACAUUUUUUAUUCAGAGUCGCCACUUGACAUAAUUCGGUGUGUCAAGUCACCUUUGAAAAAUCCUUUUCAAAACAGUUUGACUCUAAAAGCUGAUCUACGAACAGAGAUUCCGAUUAAGGAAUUUUGUUGAUCAAGGAAAAGGUGUUAGGCACCCCUCGGUCCCGUGGUUUGACCACGAUCGCUUGGUGAAGCGUAUCGGCUAAUUUGACAUUAUGAAUAUAUAAACCACACAAAACAAUCAAUCAAACAAACAAACAAAACAAAUCCAAAAUUAUAUUGUCCAGUCCGAUUAUUACAAUCCCGAAAUAGAAAAGUGCGAAAAUAUAAACCUACUCUAUUCUAUGCUAAUUCUAAACUGCACUCCAUUGCUUUCUCCACCCGACGUUUCGGGCCUUGAUCGUGCGUCGUUUUCAAUUACAUGGUAUUUCGGAGCAUUCCCCGGAUAAAUCAAUACAAAUCCUCUGGGGCAUUCCCCGACCAAAUAAAUACAAUAGAUCCCAAUGCAUAAAUCAAAAUUAUUCCACAAACAUUUCAUCAUUCGACAAUCACAAAUUCUAAACUUUGCCUACCCAACUUACGUUUUCCUAUUACUUCCGACUUAUCAUGCUACUACCACGUUUAACAAUGUCAACAUCGAUCAAGAUGACAAAUUAAAUAAACUAAGUGAAAUUACGAAUUAACCAGCUUCGAUACCAGCCCCAGAUUACGAUUUAACCCCAAAUUGAGUCCAAGUUCUUUGAUUAUUCCAAUUCAAAACAAUCAAUCGAUCGACGUCAACAAUCAACCACUAUGAUCCAAAAUAUAUCAAAAUCAACAAAACAAAAUAAAACCCACACACCAUGAAUUUAUCACACCAAGUAUUACACGAUUAAAAAUUAAUUGAGAAUAAAAUGAAGAAUGGACCUUUUAUUCAAUCAAACAGAGGAGCCUCGCGAAUUCGGAUCCUCGACUUAAACCGACCUUGACAAAACCCCAUUUGGCGUCGAAUUUUGACCCCGAAACAGAUUUGAAAAUCAAGCGGAACCUCAAAAUCGCAAACCUCAAUUAACAAAUCAAACGAACAAUGGAAAACUCAAACGGAGGGGUGAACUGGCGCUACUGGUCGCCGAUUUUGGUGAUAUUACCCAAUAGAUUCCAAUAAUUUCGGCCAUAACAGUGAAGGACGGGACUGGGGAGAUGUUUUUUUGGUCAGUCACAUUUUCGAUCAGACCACCAAUCGAUUUCAGCUUGCCGUCGCCUUUCUCCCUCUCUCUCCAAUCUCACAAUCUCACUCUUGCUCGAAUUUCUCAUUCUUUAUCUCCCUCCUCUCUCGAUUUCUCCCUCACAUUGGUGUUACUGUAUGUGGUGUGUUUGUGAACGAAGAAAAAAAGAAAAAAAUGGUGUAUGCCUCUGUUUCCGUGGUUGAUUCUGUGUGUGGUGUAUACGAGGUGCUAUGGUCUUCUGUGAGGGGUGAUUAUUGUGAAUGGAAUUGUGUGGGUGUGUACCGUGUGUAUGUGCUUCAAUGGAAAAAGAAAAUAGAGAAAUUGAGCUAUGGGUGUAUCCUCUAGUGAAUCGAAAUUGGGAGUCUAUCAUGUGGAGUGUGUAUGUGAAUAUGGUGAUGGAGUAUGUGCUCUUUUUUCAUAAGGAUUUUUUGGUAUCCCCGUCCCUUUUUCUAACC
RNAcentral lists this long non-coding RNA (9992 nucleotides) under Capsicum annuum. RNAcentral's name for it is "long non-coding RNA (CANN_LNC000228)". Lineage: Eukaryota; Viridiplantae; Streptophyta; Magnoliopsida; Solanales; Solanaceae. The record is from RNAcentral.